UAAGGAGAUAAUUCCUUAUUUAUAGAAGAAAGAUGACUAGAGUUUCAUAGUAAAAUGGGUCUAAUUUAUUGUCUAAUGGGCCUUGAGGUAGAAUGUAAAUCUACCCCCAACAAUAAGUCCCCCCAAGUUCGUAGAGAGAGAUGAAGUCGAUCUCUGUGAAUUUUACGAAUAGGGUUUAUUAGACAAUAAACUAGACACAUUCAUGCCUAUGAUGGUUUAGGCGAGUUUACUUCGAACUUGUGCCUAGUAAAAGGCAAGUUUGCUUUAAACUCGUGCUUAGUGAAAGACGAGUUUACUUGACUCAUGCUGAGACAGAGGCGAAUUUACUGAGAACUCGUGCCUAGUAGUAGGAGAGUUUCUGUAAACUCAUGCCUUGUCAAAGAUGAGUUUUUGUAAACUCGUGUCUAACAAUAAGUGAGUCUAAUGCAAAUUUGUGCCUAAUAUAAAGCAAGUUGAAUUUAAACUCGUGCCUAGUAAAAAUAAGUUUACCGAACUUUGCCGACCCGAAGUCUCGUGUUGAGAUCGUGUGUGCCGAGCAAGUUAUUGGCUUGUGUGUUCGUCAGGCAUGAUGACGUAAGAAAGCGCCGGCUUGUGCUGAUUCAGACAAGUUUGUAGCUGAGAGAUCGCCAUUCCAAGCAUGAGGACAUGACAGUAGCACUCACUUGUUGAUUCUCUUUGGCUCAACGAUCUAAUCAACUCUGGUUCACAACAAAAAGCAUGAUCAGAUCAAGGUUAACCAAAAGAACCAGCCAAGUUUUGUAUAAUUGAUAAGCAAGCGAUAGUUUAACUUGUGUUAAUGCUCGGCUAUUGCAUAUGAUGUUAGUAAUUUAUCAAUUACUAAUCAUUAUGCACAGGUUGCAAACAACAAAUCAAUCAACCGUAAUUAUCUCAUAAAGGUUAUAAGAUACUUAUCUUUGAGGAUGAGCCUUGUUUGUAACUUGACAAAGAAGUUAUUGUGGACGUGAUGACAUUUUGUGCUGACGAUCUCAAUGGAUCGCUCUUAUCAGAGCUGAGAUGACGGUGAACUCAAAGCUGAUGACUUUAUCUUUGUUCCUCACUGUUGAGAGCUCGUUUCCUUUUGCAACCUCUUCUUCGUAUUUUUUUUUUGAGAUGACAAACUCGUAUGCCGGUUCAUGUUCAAAGCGGAGGUUAAGCAUGAAGCGUCGAGAGAGUACCACAGGCCUAGUGAGGAAGAUAACUUAGGAGUGUGCAUGAGCUUGAGCCUCUUGAUCCUUGAACUUGAGCUCGAGCUUCUUGAUGGCUGACGUGCGUGCAUGACCUUUAGCCUCGUGACCGUCGAGCAAGUGAUGGAGCUUUAGGCCCGCAAGAAGCUUCGUUGAUGGAGCUUUGAAGACGUCAUGGUGAUGAAGCCAUAAGAAACCGGGUGCCGAGAUCACAUGAUCACCUCUGUUUCUCGGCGGUGUACCGGACGAGCUUGAACUUACAUUGUUGUUUGGCGUUGACUUGUGCCUAGUAAAUCACAUGACUGUUGCUCGGCGUUAACCCGCACGAUCUCAAGGCUUCUGUCGCAACAAGAGCAGUCAUCGACGAGGUGAGACGAGAUGGACCUUGAACGGAGGCACGCAAACGAGGCCUUGAAGAGCUUGCGGUAAUGACGUGCUUGUCUAGAGAGCUUUCUUGAAGAAGCAAGACCUUGUUGGAGAGGUUGUCAUCGACAUGAUCAUAACCAAUUGAACCUUCUCCUCGUCAUGAAGGAGCUCUCCUCCUAUUCUCACGCUCAUGCCAAGGUUAAAGCCUUUGUCGGGUAGAAAGAUGCGACCGAUUCCCUUUGCUGUGUGAAAGCAAAGGCCAGAGCUGUCCUUGGGCUUCUUGGGAUACAGCGAUCUCGGGAUGAAGAAGAGACAGCACUUGCUACAGCGGUCUCGUCUUAAAGAUGAGGCAAGAACUUCCUGUCACUCGGUUUCGUCUUUAACGAAGACGAGGAGCUUGUACUAUCCCGUCAGUGUGGCGAGCUUGUGUGAUGCAGUGAUCAAGCUCGUUUAUCAGACGAGAGCCAGAAAUGAGCAGGGUCUGUAAGCUUCCGAGCUGACUGGUAUGGCCUAGCCCUUAGUUCACCGUGAAAUUACGCUCCAUUCUAUUAAACAAAGACAUUAGAAGUUGAAAAUAAUUCGUAAGAAACUAUUUAAUAAUGCUUUGGAGAGUUAUGCAAGGUAGCUUGUCAAUUAUCUAUGGGAACAAUCGUUCAAAGUAUACAAUAAUUUAUAACAUUGACUCAGCGAAUGAAUAAUUGAUAAAUAAUUAAUCAAGAAUCCACGACUUGCACAAAGUGUGAAGUAUUAUUUAGUGGUAAUGGAUAAUUGACCAAAUAUUGAAAAGGAGACUUAUCUUUUUUUUUUUGUGUAGGCAAUUUUGAUGGAGAUAUCUUGUGCCAGUCUGGAGGGAUUUCGAACAGGAAGGUAUCUUGUAGUUACCAGGUCCACAAGUGAGUAGAUUCCCUGGUUUAAUCCAUUUAUGAGAUGCAUCUCCCCAUUUCACUUCUUCUAGAGCUACCCAACCUAACCCUUGUACGAAUGCUCCUUCUAUCUGCAAAACAUGUUCAGGUUUCAGACACAAACGCAACACUCUUGUCUUAAUGAUUUCAAGUGGUUUUGUUUCAAGUACUUGUCCAAUAUCUAUGGCUGGGUUAAGAGAAUAUCCCAGGUCCAACUUUAUAUCGACCGUUUUUGUGUGAAAGUCACCGGUUAAUGUAUCGAUCUCAACUUCCGCAAAUGCAGCUCCGUAGGUGUAAUAUCUGAAUGGGUUUCCUUUACCGGAGAUCCAGUCAAAGCCAACAUCGGGAACAAUGUAAAAGCCAUGAGCAGAGAGGUCUAUUCGUUGAAAAUAGCAUGCACUUGCCAGCUACAUACCAAUCAAAACAAAGCAGGUUAAGAGAGUUUUAUUCAUCAAAAGGCAAAGAAUGUUUCAUUGAGUUACCUCAGCCAAGGAGUUGCCACUGAGCUUAGUGGCAAGAGGCUCCAUUCGUGCUUUAAUCUGCUCACACCGUACAUGUCAGAGCUCAGAGAAGCAGCGGUUGGUGACGCAUUUGGAACAUAGUUACAUCUUAUUUCUUAACACUUUAUAUUAUAAAUAUUACCUUGUCGGUGCUCGUCUCUGAUACAAAAACGGAACUAAGGGGAAUGUUAAAGGCAUAAGCAGCAACUUGAGAAACCUUUGUAUGCAAUCCUUGACCCAUCUCUACACCUCUAUGUGUCACCAAAACAGUACCGUCUGUGUACACAUACACAAGAGCACCUGCCUAACACCCAAAAAUUAAAAUGGAUAUAAGUAACAAAAACUCUGUUUCUUGCUUCUCAAGAAAUAGUAUUGCAAGAUAGACUUACCUGGUUCAUGAACGUUUUGGUAAAUGAUACGCCAAACUUUGUGGGAACCAUAGCCACACCACGCUUUUUCCACCGGUUGUGGCUAUUAAACUCGUCGACAUCUCUACGAGCCUUUAGAAAGUUGCAAGACACUUUCAGCUCCUUCCAGAGCUGAUGCAGUGUGCAAUGCUGAAUACACUGAGAGUAAUGUGUGAUAGAGCCUUCCACUUGAAAGUUCAUCUCCUAAAGUAACACCCAAGAAAGCAUCAAAACAUGAGAAAUAAUUCCUAUGAACUUUCAGGAACAUUAUGAUUUCUUCAGGGCUUCUAUUAAGUUCAGCUGCGAUUCUCUGGAUCCAGUUUUCGGUUAUAAGCAUGCCUUGCGGACCUCCAAAGCCUCGGAAAGCAGUGUUGCUAGGAUAGUUAGUAAAGCAAACGUUCCUCUGAUCCUCACAUGUGGAUCUCAUAGACAUUAUCAGAGUUAAACAUUGCAANNNNNNNNNNNNNNNNNNNNNNNNNNNNNNNNNNNNNNNNNNNNNNNNNNNNNNNNNNNNNNNNNNNNNNNNNNNNNNNNNNNNNNNNNNNNNNNNNNNNCACUUGAGUAGACGAUAUUCCUUAUUGUUGCAACCAUUGCAUAUUCCCCCGUCUCUUCAAUGGAAUUGUCAGAUAAUACGAAAGUGGUAAUAUAAGGGAUGGGGGUGAUGACGUUCAAAUGGGCUCAGAAACUGAACCGCACAAGACAUCCAACUUCGUAUACCGAUCCUUGUAUAUGAAUCCAUUGCACAUUCGACUGCAAGCAUAAAUCCGAAGGUAUCUAGCUCCUUGUUUGUAAAUAAGUGAGCCGUUCAUUGUGUAACACAUGCCUUUUCUUUUUAGGACAUUUAGCACAGCACUGAUGGAGAGAAAAAUCACAAUCCAACAUCCAUAAAAGGAUUGGAGACCAAUGGGAUGGGUGCAUGCGCUGCAUCGUUUUGGUAUCCCCUCAUACAAAACACCAUUCUCAUUGAAUCUGAGUAAUGCUCUUUGUGGCUGAAAUGUUGUAUUGUGUUGUCGUCUAUCACCACAUAUGGUUCUAUAUCUUCUUCUUCUUCAGGUACUCCUUCAAGCUCUUCAUGUUCCAAACAUCAUAUCUGGUAGCACAUUUAGAAUGAACAACAUAGUUAGGGCACGUCUGACAAGAAAUCCUCCACAAGUCCAGUCCCCUUCUUGUGACAAACUUCGCAUACGAGAAUUCAUAGCACCAUCACCAAGAAGCAAAGUACGAGAAACACGGUGAUCAUGUCGAUUGAUGUUAAUGACACGAGGAAGACCAAGACAGCCUUGAUGGAUCAUGAAAUCACAUUGAACACACAUGUAAGGGCUUCGAUCUCCCUUGAGCCCACAAGCAUUACAUGUGAAUGAAAGCAUCUUGGAAGAAGCUUGAGUUGGUGAUCAUGAGCUUUCAAGUUCAAAAGAGAUUGUGGUGGCGGAUUCACAACACAACGCCAAUCAAGGUGAAGUUACAAGAAAAAAAUGAUAAAACAAUUCUUUAUCAACCUUUCUUCCGCAAAGACGACAUUUACCAUCAGAAUAGUCAGGUGGUGGACCCUUGAAUAGCUUAAGAGGAUGCAAGAGUGAUAAGGGUGGUUUACCUCUGUUGAGUGCUCUAGUGCUGCUGGGUGCCAUACACAUUCCACAUGAAAGGCUACAGCAUCACAUUCAUUACAUUGGUAAUAAAAUCCACAAGAAAUCCUGCAGCAUAUGCAGAAGUCUUCCCGCAUUUUGCAGAACAGUGGAAGGCGCUCAGUUCCUUGACAAAUGUGAGCUUGUGGGGAUGCAUCUCAAAAUUUUCAAUAAUAUCUGGUGGUGGGUACUUGGCACAGUGUAGAUCCAUGUGGAAGUCACACAUCUCGCAACGAUAGGAUAGAUUUUGGAUUUUACUAUCACAUAUAUAGCAUACGUGAUCUUCUCGUUUUUCUUGAAGCCGGAGAGUGUGAUCGGGGUGAGAUGGGUGGUCGCUGAUGAAUUCAGACAGCUCGUCGCCACACUUCUUGUGCACGAAGAAAUCACAGAGUUUACAAUAGUAGCCAUCACUCUGAGGUUCAAAGCAAUCACAGCAAUCGCCUUUCCUCAUAUGAUGAUCAUUCCAAGGCGUCAUAGGAUGCUCGUGAAACAAUGGUAACAACACUCCUCCCUCAGAUUCCAUUUUGCUCUCUAGUAUACUAAAGAAGAUGAAGAAGAAGAAGGAAAGAUUGAAUAAGGGAGAUAGAUUCCUUGAAUAAUGGUGUGGUGUGUUUUCUCAAAGCUAUAUCUCUUCUCUCUGGCCACUCAAACUUAUCCCCUCUCAAGUUUCUUCUUUGUUUUCAUAUUUCGAUAAAGAAAAGGUUCCCUAUGCUUAAGUGGGGUUGUCAGCUUUGUUUUCUCUUUUACUUUUCUGGUUUUCUUUUUGCUUUUUCUCCAAAUGCGUAGUAUUGUCACUUAUCAGCUGCAUAACCGUAACGAAGAAAGAUGGUGGACGCUCAAGAAGCUAUAGUUCUGGCAGCAUUUGCCUCUUUCAGGAUAGCCUUGAUUUUUUUUCAUUAUAGUUGCAACUAUUUUGAUGACCAUGACCUAAGUUGAAGGUUAUGCAUCACUUUUGUUAUUUAGAUAGACGAUCAGCUGAGAAAUAAUUCUGGUUCAUUGUCGUCACUGUCUUUCUUGGAUAUAUCAUUAUAGAGACAUCGUUUCAGCUGUUUAAAAUCUUUCCUCGAGCAUGUUCUGAUUCAUUGAGUCCAGAGUUUCAAACCCGGGAUAAUAUAUGAAACAUAUCAAUCAGACUUUUUUUUAUAACAAACCUUUACCAAGCAUUUUACAUGUAAGACUGAGGGUUACUGUGCUCUUCGUUCUCAAGGGAAGAUAUUGCAGAAAACGUAGAGCUGAAAACAUUAGGAGAAACAAUAGUCUUGGAAGGAAAAACAGUCUCCAUUGAUAAAAAGUAGAUGAACACGGUGAUUGAUGUUAAUGACCCGUGGAAGGCCAAGACAGUCUUGAUGAAUCAUGAAACCACAUGGAACACAUAUGUAAGGGCUUUGAUCUCCCUUGAGGCCACAAGCAUUACAUGUAAAAAAAAAUCGAGUCUUGGAAGAAGAGUGAGCUGGUGAUCAUGAGUGGGGGGGUUCAAAACAAUUCUAAGGCAAAGACGACAUGUUCCAUCAAACACAAGGCAUAUCCAAGGUGAAGUUACAAGAAUAACAAUGAUAAAACAAUUCUUUAUCAAUCUCUCUUGUGUUUGGAGUUUGAUUUGGCUUUGAUGGCGACGAGGAACCGAACGACGGUGUACAGGAAACACAGAGACGCGUGCUCCUCUGUCUGAUUCGUUCGGUGGUCCGGUGAUCGAAAAUGGUUAGUGUUUGAUCCAAAAAUGGUGUUUAUCUUUGUGAUGUUUGUUGGAAUCAAUCAAAUAAAGAAUCUAAAGAUAAAAGCUUAGAUUCUUGAGGUUUAGGAGAAAUCUUAAAAGAAUCAAAUGAGAAAUGAACAUCAAAAGAGUUUAUUGAUUUAAGAUUGUAUUACAUGUAGGAUUACAAGUGUAAAUAAAUCUAAUAAUUCAUAAACCCUUUGUAAGAAGUGUUCUAAGUCUAAAAUGAAGAAGACCCCCCGUCUAAUAAGGAGAUAAUUCCUUAUUUAUAGAAGAAAGAUGACUAGAGUUUCAUAGUAAAAUGGGUCUAAUUUAUUGUCUAAUGGGCCUUGAGGUAGAAUGUAAAUCUACCCCCAACAAUAAGUCCCCCCAAGUUCGUAGAGAGAGAUGAAGUCGAUCUCUGUGAAUUUUACGAAUAGGGUUUAUUAGACAUAAACUAGACAAUUCAUGCCUAUGAUGGUUUAGGCGAGUUUACUUCGAACUUGUGCCUAGUAAAAGGCAAGUUUGCUUUAAACUCGUGCUUAGUGAAAGACGAGUUUACUUGACUCAUGCUGAGACAGAGGCGAAUUUACUGAGAACUCGUGCCUAGUAGUAGGAGAGUUUCUGUAAACUCAUGCCUUGUCA
Molecule: long non-coding RNA, 7316 nt
Filed under: Brassica rapa (field mustard)
Lineage: Eukaryota; Viridiplantae; Streptophyta; Magnoliopsida; Brassicales; Brassicaceae
Description: long non-coding RNA (BRAP_LNC006242)
Source: RNAcentral